RNAcentral lists this unclassified non-coding RNA (383 nucleotides) under soil metagenome. Its description in RNAcentral is "partial contains 5.8S ribosomal RNA, internal transcribed spacer 2, and large subunit ribosomal RNA". The stretch from base 1 to 120 matches the Rfam family "5.8S ribosomal RNA", at positions 35 to 154 of the family's 154-position model. The record is from RNAcentral.
GAUGAAGAACGUAGUGAAAUGCGAUAAGUAGUGUGAAUUGCAGAAUUCAGUGAAUCAUCGAAUCUUUGAACGCACCUUGCGCUCCUUGGUAUUCCGAGGAGCAUGCCUGUUUGAGUGUCAUGAAAUUCUCAACCUUUCUGGCUUUUGCUAGUCAGGCUUGGAUUAUGGGAGCUGCUGGCUUUUGAAGUCGGCUCUUCUAAAAUGUAUUAGCAAGAUCAUUGCUGCUCAUCAUUGGUAUGAUAAUUAUCUAUAUCAUUGAGAGUCAGUUUCCUUUAUUGGAAGAUUUUGCUCCUAACGGUCUUUAGCAAGACAACAUUUGACGAUUUUGACCUCAAAUCAGGUAGGACUACCCGCUGAACUUAAGCAUAUCAAUAAGCGGAGGA